CUACUUCCGCAUAUAUCAAGAACACAGCCACAAACCCCAUUAACUUGUUUCCUGAUUUCUUCAGUCACAAAAGCAUGGAAUCAAUUACUUUCCAAAAUCAAAAUUUCAAUUCUAAUAAAUCGAAACCCAACUUUCCCAAUCGAAGAAAACCCUUGUUUACUGGUUAAAACAUAAUCUCAAAUUCAUGGAAUCAAAAACAAAAUUCCAAUUUCUACCUCUAAUUUGCUAAAUCAAAACCCUAACUUCUGUAAAUAGAAACCCAAAUGAGAGUGAUAGCUACAACUGAAGCUUUAGGACGAUGGGGUUUAUGGGUUGCAGACAGGAAAAUGGAGAUCGAGCAGGAUGAAUUACAACAGAUGAUUGAAGCAUCGAUUAAGAAGACAUGGUUUUAUUCUUGAAUUGAAGCUUCUUUGGGAACUGGGAAGAAUACUGAUGAGGUUUCAAUCUUUUCCUGAUUUUCUUCUCCUUAAAAAUGGUAAGUUGAAUUAGGGUUUUCAAUUGGUUGAUGUUUAGAUACGAAAUUGAUGUGAAAUUGAUCAAUUCAUGAUGGGUUUGAUUCCAAUUUAUGAUGGGUUUGAUUCUUAAUUGAAGUAUAGAUGAUACUGUGAAUUAAAUUGACUACUUGAUUAUCAUGGGUUCGUAGUUAUGGUGGAAAUGGUAAUUCAUAAACAAGAAUCAGAUGAAGCUGGGGUUAAACUCGAGCCUGAAAUGGGAAGUAACAUGGUUCGAUUUGAGUUGAAUUAGGGAGGAUUUGAAGUUGCUGCUGAGAUGGUGAUGAACACAGAAAGAAGAAGAAUAACUGGUGAUGUAUUGCUUCGAUUAUUGUGUACAAAGGGUGCUAGAGGACUUUGAAUUGAAAUUGGAAGAUUGAGUAUGUGGUUUCAUUGAAGAAUGUUGUGGUGGUUCUGGGUGAUGUGUUGCAGAAGAUGCUGCUUCAGAGAAGGUGGUGGUGCUGAGUUGAUGUGGCGGAUGAGUAAAAUAAAGGAAAUGGUGGUGCUUGGGAAAAGAUGGAAAGUGAAGGUUAUUAUAGUAAAUAGGCCAUCAAUUUAUGUAUUUUAUUUUAUUUAUUUACUUUUUUUAAUAAUAUCUAAACAGAAGUAAGUAUUUAACCGAGUCAACAUGAGUUAACGUUUGGUCCAGGUACCAAGCACUAACGUUGGACAAAUGUUAGACCAAAG
Molecule: long non-coding RNA, 1178 nt
Organism: Papaver somniferum (opium poppy)
Lineage: Eukaryota; Viridiplantae; Streptophyta; Magnoliopsida; Ranunculales; Papaveraceae
Exons: 2
Source: RefSeq, a predicted model, not a curated record